RNAcentral lists this ribosomal RNA (497 nucleotides) under uncultured bacterium. Its description in RNAcentral is "partial 16S ribosomal RNA". It matches the Rfam family "Bacterial small subunit ribosomal RNA", at positions 28 to 507 of the family's 1533-position model. The record is from RNAcentral.
GACGAACGCUGGCGGCGUGCCUAAUACAUGCAAGUAGAACGCUGAAGCGAGGAGCUUACUCUUCUUGGAUGAGUUGCGAACGGGUGAGUAACGCGUAGGUAACCUGCCUUGUAGCGGGGGAUAACUAUUGGAAACGAUAGCUAAUACCGCAUAACAAUGGAUGACACAUGUCAUUUAUUUGAAAGGGGCAAUUGCUCCACUACAAGAUGGACCUGCGUUGUAUUAGCUAGUAGGUGAGGUAAUGGCUCACCUAGGCGACGAUACAUAGCCGACCUGAGAGGGUGGUCGGCCACACUGGGACGGAGACACGGCCCAGACUCCUACGGGAGGCAGCAGUAGGGAAUCUUCGGCAAUGGGGGCAACCCUGACCGAGCAACGCCGCGUGAGUGAAGAAGGUUUUCGGAUCGUAAAGCUCUGUUGUAAGUCAAGAACGGGUGUGAGAGUGGAAAGUUCACACUGUGACGGUAGCUUACCAGAAAGGGACGGCUAACUACGUG